CAGCCGCCGCGGUAAAACGAAGGGGGCUAGCGUUGCUCGGAAUGACUGGGCGUAAAGGGCGCGUAGGCGGUUUUCCAAGUUAGAUGUGAAAUUCCUGGGCUCAACCUGGGGGCUGCAUUUGAUACUGGGAGGCUUGAGUAUGGAAGAGGGUCGUGGAAUUCCCAGUGUAGAGGUGAAAUUCGUAGAUAUUGGGAAGAACACCGGUGGCGAAGGCGGCGACCUGGUCCAUAACUGACGCUGAGGCGCGAAAGCGUGGGGAGCAAACAGGAUUAGAUACCCCCGUAGUCCCUGUCUCUUAUAC
Molecule: ribosomal RNA, 301 nt
Filed under: uncultured bacterium
Lineage: Bacteria
Description: partial 16S ribosomal RNA
Rfam family: Bacterial small subunit ribosomal RNA
Source: RNAcentral